Molecule: long non-coding RNA, 1022 nt
Filed under: Equus caballus (horse)
Lineage: Eukaryota; Metazoa; Chordata; Mammalia; Perissodactyla; Equidae
Description: lncRNA (ENSECAG00000056655.1)
Source: RNAcentral
CUGUGUCGCCGAGGCCACCCGGCGUCCGGCGUCCGCUGGGCAGCGAUCGCUUCUCGUGCGGUCCGGCCCGUCAUCACUGUCCCGGCCCUCUCUGCCCAGCCUCGGGUCCUGGCCUCGGAGGGUCACAGGGACCCGUUGGAGAUAUUGGAGUUAUGACAAGUCCCCUCUCCUUCUCCAUCCCCCCUGGGUUAGGUCCCGACCUCCAAGUGCCAUCGUGCACGCCGCCUCCUCCGGGAAGCCUUCCGAGAGCCCCGGCGGCCCGACUCCCGGGCCCUCCGCGCUGUUCUCUCGGCCUGGGAGCAUCGUUACUUGGGGAUGUUUCUCCUGGAGGGCCUGCGCGGGGGCCCCUCCCCAGCAAGGGCCGCAGGCUCUUUGGGGGUCCAUCGAGGCGAAGUAAAGAACAGAAGUUGGCCAGAACCAUCUCCCGCCACCCACCCUCAACUGACGGAGGAGAUGCAGACCGGGAGGCCCCUGCCAAGGCCCGCAGUCCCCUGCGAGGAGCGUGGGCUGGGAAGCCUGGAAGCGUCCUCUGGCCUCUCCGAACCUCCACCCGUGCCGGUGCGGAUGGGGACCGGUGACUGGCCUGGACCCCUUCCAAUGGUCGAGGUGGUGAGGUGGGAUUGAUGCUCCUUAGAAAGCAUCCAAGGGAGGAUCAUUUGUGCCCAGUAUUUAACCUUAGCAUCAAACGUGGGGAAACAAGGGGCCGGCGCGCUGGCAUAGCGGAUAAGUUUGCGGACUCCGCUUUGACGGCCGGGCUUGGCCAGCAUGGACCCCAGGCGCGGACCUACGCACCGCUUAUGAAACCAUGCACUGUCAGGCGUCCCACGUAUAAAGUAGAGGAAGAUGGGCACAGAUGUUCGCUCAGGGCCAGUCUUCCUCAAAAAAAAAAAAAGGGGGAAAUGCACCAAGACGUGCACACAGCAAAGCUUCGGAAAACAGACUCCUCUACAAAACAUGGUGCAUGGAAUUGAGCUUUACUGGUUUGUCUUGUUAUGGCCUCUCUCCCCCUCUAGAAAGUCAGC